CCCUUAGAUGUUCUGGGCCGCACGCGCGCUACACUGAUUCAUGCAACAAGUUUUGCCCUUGGCUGAUAGGCCUGGGUAAUCUUUGAACGUGAAUCGUGAUGGGGAUAGAUGAUUGCAAUUAUUCAUCUUCAACGAGGAAUUCCUAGUAAACGCAAGUCAUCAGCUUGCAUUGAUUACGUCCCUGCCCUUUGUACACACCGCCCGUCGCACCUACCGAUUGAAUGGUCCGGUGAAAUCUUCGGAUCUGAGAGAUGUCUGAUUAAUUUCGGACGCCUUUUGGAAAAGUUGCUUAAACCUUACCAUUUAGAGGAAGGUGAAGUCGUAACA
This 327-nucleotide ribosomal RNA is filed under the name uncultured eukaryote. RNAcentral's name for it is "partial 18S ribosomal RNA". It matches the Rfam family "Eukaryotic small subunit ribosomal RNA", at positions 1470 to 1796 of the family's 1831-position model. The record is from RNAcentral.